GCCUGGGUGGCUCAGUGGGUUAAGCGUCUGACUUCGGGUCAGGUCAUGAUUUCAUGGUUCGUGGGUUUGAGCCCCACAUCAGGCU
This 85-nucleotide transfer RNA is filed under the name Felis catus (domestic cat). It matches the Rfam family "tRNA". Rfam says of the family: Transfer RNA (tRNA) molecules are approximately 80 nucleotides in length. Their secondary structure includes four short double-helical elements and three loops (D, anti-codon, and T loops). The record is from Rfam by way of RNAcentral. RNAcentral also lists the same sequence under 2 other names. Lineage: Eukaryota; Metazoa; Chordata; Mammalia; Carnivora; Felidae.